CAUGUGUCUCAGGCAGCAGCACCACAGAGGUGCUGCGGUGUCCUCGCUAUGUCUGAGAAGGUGAAUCAUUGCAUGCACCGGUGUUUCAUGAUGGCCUCGUCAGUUGAGGAGAUACCCUGUGGACCACCUGUCUAUUUACCUUGUUGCUAGCCUGAGUUUAUUUCCAUCCGGCCUUCCAACUCAAGAACUGAGAGGUGCUGUGGGCAGAGCUCGCCUACCUGCUGAGGUACUGGCUUCCUCCGGCUUCUCCAAGGUGUCUUAGGAAAGAAAACAACUGAAUUAUAGCUCCAUGCUGCCACCCUUCAGAACUGCUUUUGGGGAGGGCUGCUUUCCAAACCGAGGCUCAACUGGCUGUCUGUGAAUCAGUCAUUUCCACAGUGUCCGACCGUGGGAAGAACACCUGGCUUCUUCAUCGGCUCACAGAGGCCUCGCUGAGUAGUCAAGGCCUCUCAAUUGCUUGAAGCCAGUUAAGCAGGAGGGGCUCUGGAGAGAGGCAAGUUCCGUUUCUUUGGCUCUAGGGGUCCACAACAAAGGACCCCGUGAAGCCCCUACACGGUGAGGACAACGACAUCAGUUUUGUGGGCAGGCAGCACAUGCACGCCUUCUGGAGCCAGGAGCCAUAGCUUAGCUUGGAAUCCCAGAGGCUUUAUGAGCCCAGGAAGAUUAAGGCUCAAGAUGUCUAAUCUAAUCUCUUCAUUUAAGUGUUGAUACCAGAAUUGAGGUACGGAUGGUUCCUUGUGACAAACAGACUGACCCUCUUUAAUAGAACUCCAUCCAAAGCUUUCCCCUGAACCUUGCUUUCUUUCACUGAGCUAAUUUCUCUACUAUUACAAGCUACUCUGGGAGAGAGGAGGAUGCUUGGGAAAGUUACAUUGCCUUUUAAAGCCACAGGGGUAUCGUUUGGUGCAUUCCUGCUCAAGCAAUUAUUACCUUCUGAGAGCCUGCCGAGCGGCCUCCUGCCUUCCCUUUGGUCUCCGUGGGGACUCAUUAUGUU
Molecule: long non-coding RNA, 994 nt
Organism: Onychomys torridus (southern grasshopper mouse)
Lineage: Eukaryota; Metazoa; Chordata; Mammalia; Rodentia; Cricetidae
Exons: 5
Source: RefSeq, a predicted model, not a curated record